UACGAACUGUGCGAACGUUAUUCGGAAUCACUGGGCUUAAAGGGUGCGUAGGCGGCGGCUCAAGUCAGGUGUGAAAUCCCCCGGCUCAACCGGGGAAUAGCGCUUGAAACUGGGUCGCUCGAGUGAGGCAGGGGUGCAUGGAACUUCCGGUGGAGCGGUGAAAUGUGUAGAUAUCGGAAGGAACGCCGGCGGCGAAAGCGGUGCACUGGGCCUUGUCUGACGAUGAGGCACGAAAGCUAGGGGAGUGAACGGG
Molecule: ribosomal RNA, 253 nt
Filed under: uncultured bacterium
Lineage: Bacteria
Description: partial 16S ribosomal RNA
Rfam family: Bacterial small subunit ribosomal RNA
Source: RNAcentral